RNAcentral lists this ribosomal RNA (497 nucleotides) under uncultured bacterium. RNAcentral's name for it is "partial 16S ribosomal RNA". It matches the Rfam family "Bacterial small subunit ribosomal RNA", at positions 28 to 507 of the family's 1533-position model. The record is from RNAcentral.
GAUGAACGCUGGCGGCGUGCCUAAUACAUGCAAGUCGAGCGAACGGACGAGAAGCUUGCUUCUCUGAUGUUAGCGGCGGACGGGUGAGUAACACGUGGAUAACCUACCUAUAAGACUGGGAUAACUUCGGGAAACCGGAGCUAAUACCGGAUAAUAUUUUGAACCGCAUGGUUCAAAAGUGAAAGACGGUCUUGCUGUCACUUAUAGAUGGAUCCUCGCUGCAUUAGCUAGUUGGUAAGGUAACGGCUUACCAAGGCAACGAUGCAUAUCCGACCUGAGAGGGUGAUCGGCCACACGGGAACUGAGACACGGUCCAGACUCCUACGGGAGGCAGCAGUAGGGAAUCUUCCGCAAUGGGCGAAAGCCUGACGGAGCAACGCCGCGUGAGUGAUGAAGGUCUUCGGAUCGUAAAACUCUGUUAUUAGGGAAGAACAUAUGUGUAAGUAACUGUGCACAUCGUGACGGUACCUAAUCAGAAAGCCACGGCUAACUACGUG